UUGUGGAAUAACUGAAGUUUCCAUGAUUUACCUCUGUAAAAAGUUUAGGUCAUCAAGCAUACCAUAUCUUCACAGCUGCUUGUUUAUUUCUGUCAUUGUGAUUGUGUAUGUCUCAAAUCUACUAAAGCUGAGGUCUAAAUAAGUGAACAGAAUUGUUCAAUGAAUAAGAUUAUAUCAUUUUUUAAAUAAAGAGUAUUUAAUACUGUGGAUAUAUUGAUAGAACUGUUUUCUGAGUUGCAAUACAAUGUUAAUAAGAGGUGACAUACAUCUAUGAUGUUUCAUAAUGGAGGUUAUGAUAUAGUCUAUUUACAAAAUUUGAAAAUCAAACUAAAACUCACAUGCACAUUUGUUAAGAAUGUGCUAUCAGUUCAAAACUCUAAGACAACUAACAGGUAGUGAUUACAUAUGAAUCUUGAAACAGAGAAUUAUAGCAAAUUUAAAAAUUAGAACUUCAUUAUACUGGUAUCAUGUAUAUGGAUACAAAUUUACAUGUGAAAGUUCAUUACCCCUGGAUUACUCUCACCCAAAAGGUUUCAAUUUUAUAAUGAUUCGUGUUGUAGCCAUUAAGUAAAAUCUUUCACAUGCCUUCCCUGAAUGCCUUUUUUGGACUGAGUCCACCUUGAAUAAAACUAAAGAAAGUAAAAAGAGCAGUACAGGGUGACUUUGUUCUCACAGUGACAGAUGGAAAACUGAAACUAUGCACAUCUAUAAAAGACUUCAGCACUUCUAGAAGUAAGGUGUUUUUUUCCCCCAAAGGAGGUCAACAAUUAGUUUUUAAAUCAAAUGGAAUUAUAUCUUCAAAACAUGCUGCUUUACAUUUUCUUUCUCACUCUUCCCACUCUCUACUCUUUUAAAUAAUGAAAGAGCACAGAAUUUUAAUUUUCUCAUGGAGAGAAAGUAACAAAUAUUUACUAUUGGUGAAGCUGGGAUUGUUUUUAAGAGAGAGAAUGGUUUCACAUUUCUAAUGUGCUAAUGGACUAAUCUAUGAAACAGAUCUGAGUCUGUUUUUUAAUAUCUGCUUUAAUGAAAUAAUUUUAUUAUGGGAGUAAAGAUAAGAGGGAAAGAGAUUAACAUCAGGUAUAAUUAGGUUUUCAGGCUUAUCAAGCAUUUAGAUGCUUAUCAAGCAUUAGAGAUGAUAGCACUUCUAAAAUUUUUUGAUCAGCUCUUAAAUUCCUUUGUCAGUUGC
RNAcentral lists this long non-coding RNA (1186 nucleotides) under Bos taurus (domestic cattle). Its description in RNAcentral is "long non-coding RNA NONBTAT018631". Lineage: Eukaryota; Metazoa; Chordata; Mammalia; Artiodactyla; Bovidae. The record is from RNAcentral.